CCCUAGCCCUCAUGGAAGCGGCAUCCUUUUUCUUGUUAUUCUGACCUAAGGAAGAAUCACAAGAAAAAGAUACAGCGUAGAGCAGGAAAAAGC
RNAcentral lists this small RNA (93 nucleotides) under Flavobacterium sinopsychrotolerans. RNAcentral describes it as "Flavo-1 RNA". It matches the Rfam family "Flavo-1 RNA". Lineage: Bacteria; Pseudomonadati; Bacteroidota; Flavobacteriia; Flavobacteriales; Flavobacteriaceae. The record is from RNAcentral.